RNAcentral lists this unclassified non-coding RNA (576 nucleotides) under Melampsora chelidonii-pierotii. RNAcentral describes it as "contains ITS1, 5.8S rRNA and ITS2". The stretch from base 190 to 344 matches the Rfam family "5.8S ribosomal RNA". Lineage: Eukaryota; Fungi; Basidiomycota; Pucciniomycetes; Pucciniales; Melampsoraceae. The record is from RNAcentral.
AUACAUGUUGAGCGCACUUUAAUGUGACUCUUUGUAUACCAUUACCACCCAACCCAGAGGUGCAUUGUGGCCUUUUACGAGGUUAGCAGUGUAUCAGUACGUAUCCCAAAGGCAACUUUGAGUUACAUUACCCAUCAUUUACCCCCAUUUACACUUAAUAAGUUUUAAGAAUGAUACCUAUAAUUAUAUAACUUUCAGCAAUGGAUCUCUAGGCUCUCACGUCGAUGAAGAACACAGUGAAAUGUGAUACGUAAUGUGAAUUGCAGAAUUCAGUGAAUCAUCGAAUCUUUGAACGCACCUUGCACCUUUUGGUUAUUCCGAGAGGUACACCUGUUUGAAUGUCAUGAAACCCCCCUCGGCUCUAAUGCUUUCUAAAAGGAUUGGAGACGGAUUCUGAGUGUUGGCGUGAUAACGCCUCGCUUCAAAUUGAUCAGCACUUUUGGAUGGUUUAGAAUUAGUUCGAAAGACGUACUUGAUGUUGUAGUAAUAUGUCAUUGAGGCAGUCUUUGGUCGUCACGACUAUCCGCUAAUUUGAAGACUUGAAGAAUAGCUUCCUAACCCUAUGAAUUACCCUUU